RNAcentral lists this long non-coding RNA (1025 nucleotides) under Phaseolus vulgaris (common bean). Its description in RNAcentral is "long non-coding RNA (PVUL_LNC002044)". The record is from RNAcentral. Lineage: Eukaryota; Viridiplantae; Streptophyta; Magnoliopsida; Fabales; Fabaceae.
CAACAGUCACUCUUGUGUUAGCAAUACUGUCUCUAAGCUUGCCAUCUCAAAUCUCAGCUGAUACCUACUUGUACUCAUCACCUCCUCCUCCCAAGAAGCCCUAUUAUUAUCACUCUCCUCCACCACCUUCACCUCCUCCACCUAAGCCAUACUACUAUCAUUCACCACCACCACCUUCACCUCCUCCACCCAAGCCAUACUACUAUCACUCACCACCACCACCUUCACCUCCUCCACCUAAACCAUACUACUAUCACUCACCACCACCACCUUCACCUCCUCCACCUAAACCAUACUACUAUCACUCACCACCACCACCUUCACCUCCUCCACCUAAACCAUACUACUAUCACUCACCACCACCACCUUCACCUCCUCCACCUAAGUCAUAUUACUAUCACUCACCACCACCACCACCCAAAAAGAAGCCAUACUACUACCAUUCUCCCCCACCACCUUCACCACCUCCUCCUAAGCCAUACUACUAUCACUCUCCCCCACCGCCUUCACCUCCUCCACCUACGCCAUACUACUAUCAUUCUCCCCCACCACCCUCACCACCUCCACCUAAGCCAUACUACUACCAUUCACCACCACCCCCACCGAAGAAGAAGCCUUACUACUACCACUCUCCACCACCACCUUCACCUCCUCCUCCAAAGAAGCCAUACUACUACCACUCCCCACCUCCUCCCAAGAAGCCCUACAAAUAUUCAUCUCCCCCACCUCCAGUGCACCCUUACCCUCAUCCUCACCCCCAUCCCCAUCCACACCCCCACCCUCACCCUCCCUACGUUUACAAAUCUCCUCCCCCACCCCCUAAGAAGCCAUACAAGUACCCAUCCCCACCACCUCCAGUCCACGUUUACCCUCACCCUCACCCGCAUCCACACCCUCACCCUCAACCUCACCCCCAUCCACAACCCCACCCUCCCUACAUUUAUCAGUCUCCUCCACCACCCCCUAAGAAGCCUUACAAGUACCCAUCGCCUCCACCUCCCGUCCACCCAUACCCCCAUCCCCAC